This 459-nucleotide ribosomal RNA is filed under the name uncultured bacterium. RNAcentral describes it as "partial 16S ribosomal RNA". It matches the Rfam family "Bacterial small subunit ribosomal RNA", at positions 338 to 795 of the family's 1533-position model. The record is from RNAcentral.
CCUACGGGCGGCAGCAGUGAGGAAUAUUGGUCAAUGGUCGGGAGACUGAACCAGCCAAGCCGCGUGAGGGAUGAAGGUACAGAGUAUCGUAAACCUCUUUUGUCAGGGAACAAAGGCGGGGACGCGUCCCCGGCCGAGUGUACCUGAAGAAAAAGCAUCGGCUAACUCCGUGCCAGCAGCCGCGGUAAUACGGAGGAUGCGAGCGUUAUCCGGAUUUAUUGGGUUUAAAGGGUGCGCAGGCGGUCUGUUAAGUCAGCGGUAAAAGCCCGGGGCUCAACCCCGGCGCGCCGUUGAAACUGGCUGUCUUGAGAUGGAGAGAGGUAUGCGGAAUGCGCGGUGUAGCGGUGAAAUGCAUAGAUAUCGCGCAGAACUCCGAUUGCGAAGGCAGCAUGCCGGCUCCGAUCUGACGCUGAGGCACGAAAGCGUGGGUAUCGAACAGGAUUAGAUACCCGUGUAGUC